CAGGCCUAAGACUUCUUGGUUAUGAGAGAGCGCUCGUCGCUUUCCACACUUGUGAACUUUUUAUUAAACUCUUUUGGAUGUCUUGGAAGUAAAAGUAUUUUAAGUAUACAAACUUUUGGCAAUGGAUCUCUUGGUUCUCCCAUCGAUGAAAAACGCAGCGAAUCGCGAAAGUUAAUGUGAAUUGCAAAACCGUGAAUCAUCGAGUCUUUGAACGCAUCUUGCGCACGGGGGCUAUUCCCCCGAGCAUGCUUGUCUGAGUGUUGUGAAUCUCUUUUUAUUUCAAGUCUAGCGAUUGAUUUCGCCGGAAGUUGGGUUUGUCUUUGGGAAAAGACUCACCUCAAAUGGCUAGGUGUAGGAAUAGUGGGAAGGAACGAGGCGAGUGUGUAACAGCUCCGCCGGUACGAUGAACUUCUUACCGUGCGUAUAGGGCAAGCUCGCAGCGUGUUGAUCUCCCUGACCUGCACAUUCGACCUCAGAUCAAGUAGGGUUACCCGCUGAACUUAAGCAUAUCAAUAAGCGGAGGAUGAGAAACAAACAUGGAUUCCCCUAGUAGCGGCGAGCGAAGCGGGAUGAGCCCAGAAUGAUAAGCUCCCGUCAGGGCGCAUUGUAAUCUGGAGACGUGCCUCGUGCAGGGCGGCUAGGCUUCAUGUCUGCUGGAAAGCAGCAUCGGAGAGGGUGAAAAUCCCGUGCUUGGUCUGGCUAUAGCGCUGUUUGGUGGGGCACGCUCGACGAGUCGCGUUGUUUGGGAAUGCAGCGCAAGAAGGGUGGUAAACGCCAUCCAAGGCUAAAUAUUGGGGAGAGACCGAUAGCGAACAAGUACCGUGAGGGAAAGAUGAAAAGAACUUUGGAAAGAGAGUUAAACAGUACGUGAAAUUGCCAAAAGGGAAGCGCUGGCAGUCAGUACCGCAGGUGUUGCCGUGUCUUCUGGUGUCGCGCGGGACUGUGGGGUGCACGUGGGGCUCACGUCGGUUGCGCUUGGGGAAAAGUCUGUGUGAAGUGCUCGUGCUUCUCGUGCGUGUGUUUAUAGCACGCAGCGAUACCUGC
This 1044-nucleotide ribosomal RNA is filed under the name Moniliella oedocephalis. RNAcentral describes it as "eukaryotic LSU rRNA". The stretch from base 468 to 1044 matches the Rfam family "Eukaryotic large subunit ribosomal RNA", at positions 1 to 494 of the family's 3401-position model. Lineage: Eukaryota; Fungi; Basidiomycota; Moniliellomycetes; Moniliellales; Moniliellaceae. The record is from RNAcentral.